AACGCGAAGAACCUUACCUGGGUUUGAACUGCAGGGGACCGAUACAGAGAUGUAUCUUCCCUUCGGGGCCCCUGCGGAGGUGCUGCAUGGCUGUCGUCAGCUCGUGUCGUGAGAUGUUGGGUUAAGUCCCGCAACGAGCGCAACCCUUGCCAGUAGUUGCCAUCGGGUAAUGCCGGGAACUCUACUGGGACUGCCGGUGUUAAACCGGAGGAAGGUGGGGAUGAUGUCAAGUCCUCAUGGCCCUUAUGUCCAGGGCUACACACGUGCUACAAUGGUCGGUACAAAGGGUCGCCAAGCCGCGAGGUGGAGCUAAUCCCAAAAAACCGAUCUCAGUUCGGAUUGCAGUCUGCAACUCGACUGCAUGAAGUCGGAAUCGCUAGUAAUCGUGGAUCAGCAUGCCACGGUGAAUACGUUCCCGGGCCUUGUACACACCGCUAGUC
This 440-nucleotide ribosomal RNA is filed under the name uncultured bacterium. RNAcentral's name for it is "bacterial SSU rRNA". It matches the Rfam family "Bacterial small subunit ribosomal RNA", at positions 958 to 1398 of the family's 1533-position model. The record is from RNAcentral.